Molecule: ribosomal RNA, 497 nt
Filed under: uncultured bacterium
Lineage: Bacteria
Description: partial 16S ribosomal RNA
Rfam family: Bacterial small subunit ribosomal RNA
Source: RNAcentral
GAUGAACGCUGGCGGCGUGCCUAAUACAUGCAAGUCGAGCGAACGGAUAAGGAGCUUGCUCCUUUGAAGUUAGCGGCGGACGGGUGAGUAACACGUGGGUAACCUACCUAUAAGACUGGGAUAACUUCGGGAAACCAGAGAUACUACCGGAUAACAUUUAGAACCGCAUGGUUCUAAAGUGCAAGAUGGUUUUGCUAUCACUUAUAGAUGGACCCGCGCCGUAUUAGCUAGUUGGUAAGGUAACGGCUUACCAAGGCGACGAUACGUAGCCGACCUGAGAGGGUGAUCGGCCACACUGGAACUGAGACACGGUCCAGACUCCUACGGGAGGCAGCAGUAGGGAAUCUUCCGCAAUGGGCGAAGGCCUGACGGAGCAACGCCGCGUGAGUGAUGAAGGGUUUCGGCUUGUAAAACUCUGUUAUUAGGGAAGAACAAAUGUGUAAGUAACUGUGCACAUCUUGACGGUACCUAAUCAGAAAGCCACGGCUAACUACGUG